This 328-nucleotide ribosomal RNA is filed under the name uncultured eukaryote. RNAcentral describes it as "partial 18S ribosomal RNA". It matches the Rfam family "Eukaryotic small subunit ribosomal RNA", at positions 1470 to 1796 of the family's 1831-position model. The record is from RNAcentral.
CCCUUAGAUGUUCGGGGCCGCACGCGCGCUACACUGAAUGAAUCAGCGAGUGUAUGUCCUAGGCCGAAAGGUCCGGGUAACCCGUUGAACCUCAUUCGUGAUUGGGAUAGGGACUUGCAAUUGUUUCCCUUGAACGAGGAAUUCCCAGUAAGCGCGGGUCAUCAUCCCGCGCUGAAUACGUCCCUGCCCUUUGUACACACCGCCCGUCGCUCCUACCGAUUGAGUGGUCCGGUGAGGCUUUGGGAUCUGAGCGGAAAGAGCGUUUCGCUGUUUCUGCUCGGAAAACUCAGUCGAACCUUAUCAUUUAGAGGAAGGAGAAGUCGUAACA